Molecule: ribosomal RNA, 62 nt
Filed under: Mammillaria camptotricha
Lineage: Eukaryota; Viridiplantae; Streptophyta; Magnoliopsida; Caryophyllales; Cactaceae
Description: partial 26S ribosomal RNA
Source: RNAcentral
CCGUUGCGACCCUAGGUCAAGUGGGGCUACUCGCUGAGUGUAAGCAUAUCAAUAAGCGGAGG